GUGAGGCAUAAAAGGCAUCACUCCUAUUUUUUGAAAAGCUUCUCCCUUUAUUAGCUAUAUGAAAUGCAAAGAUAUAGGAGCAUGUAAACCAAUAAUAGCUAUUCAGUCUAAACUCUAAGGAUAACUUACUAUGGGCACUGGAGGCUGAGAUAGGAUGUUGUAUUUGCAUACAUACAGUAUAUGGAGAACUGUUCUGUUUUAUGGAGCAGCAAUCAUAUUUAGUUUAAUGUCUUAUAAGUCCCAUAAAAUGACAUUAAGAAAUUUUGCUAUUUGGCUGGUGAACAAUCUAAGCAGUGGUGUUAACUCAUCAUAACACCCUUACUCUGAAAGCUCAAGCCUCAUAAAAUUUGGGAUAUAAAUAUGCCAGCUCAACUAAACGAGAUCAGAGAUCUUGCAUAUAUUCUUUCAUAGGGUGGCAUCCAAAAAUCGACUGUUCACCUAAAUCUUUUAAGAAUUUCUACCAUUUUAAGGCUGCUGGGGAGUCUUAAUCUCAGAAAAAUCACACUCUUGCCCUUUUGUUUCUAGACAUAUCCAGUCACUUAGCAGACAACCUAGCAGGGUUUGGACAGUGCUGGUGGAUGUGACAUGACCUCUGAGAGUCCUGUGCUCUUGAAAUGGCAGAUAAGUAAUAGGAAGCAUUCCUAGGUAAUCUAAAAUGAUAGUGAAUGAUUUCUGGAGUGGAGCAGCAAAAGCACAAGUGCUUUCUAUUAGGAGAAACAAGAAAGAAGUGCUGUUUUCACAGUAUUUCCAGGGCUUAUGGGAGUACCAAAAGUCUCAUUUCCGAAGUGUGGACUUUCAUGUCAUUACUUUUAUUUCCUGGAGACCUGCACUAAGUUAAUCCCAACUCAACAGUAUUUAGACAUUCAGCUUCACUGGGAAGAAGAUGGUGAGAUUUUGGCUUUUGUAAUGGCACUGCACAAGGACGAUGGAGCACAAUCUAUCCACUAUGAAACACUCCUCCUUCAAAGGCAAGCUCAUCUUUCUCUGCCUCAUUCCAAUGUGCUGUAAUUCAGGACAGCUCCAGACCAUGGCUAAAUACAGAGUAUGGAGGUUCCAUCAGAGAACCAGACCGUCCUAUAUCCAUCAGUCUCACUUGUGUGGGGUUAAAUCUCAGUCCCCCAAUACCUCCGCCCAGGAAAAAUCUACUAGACUAUGUGCAGCUCCCAUAGCAAGGGCAAGAGUGCUUCUCUUUUGCUGGAAGAAGGUUUCUUCUCCUGAGGACAAGGAACAACUUUGAGAGGAAGGCCAGAGAGAGGAUCUUUUGAGAGGCUUUGAGAGGAUCUUUUGCAAAACCUGCCUGUUGAGAAGAGGUGCAGGUAAGGUGAGGUGGGCUGUGGAAGAGCUGGCAGUGGGGAUGCAGAUGUGCAGCUGGUGGCCAGAGCAGGAGGCUGGCACUGAGCUCUGCAGCACUCGGCAUGGAUAUGCACAGCUUUGCUAAGGCAACAGGGCCACAGCAAUCAAAACAAGGGAUAAUGAGUACCUCAGGAAGAUAUGAAACUGUCUGUUUGGGGAAGGCAGGUUGUAUCUUAGAUAUAAUAAAUAUCCAGCUGAGUUAGAUUUAUCCUGUACCUGAGGAGAUUAGCAUGAGACUGACUAUAUUGAAAUAACUAUCCACUAAUUAUUUUUAUUUUUUUUUGCUGUAGCAGAGAAACACUGGCUUUGGCCCAGGCCUCUUGUUCUAAUGCUUAAAUUAAUAGUCCUGACAGUAGAAUUUAGUAUUUAUAUUCGAUAGACUGAAUGCAGAAGGGAGAAAAUAAUACUGUCAGCCAUGUUUUUCAGGUAAGGUACAAAGGAAGUAAGACUUCUGCAAGGAAAUAUUUCAGUGUACAGGGAAUUACACCUCUCUUUUUCUCAUUCUCACCCCACUUUCUAUCCCACAAGGCAGAAUAGCAAAGCACUUUAAACAUCUAAAUUUAUCAUAAGUAUGAUGUGCUGGUUUUCAUUAGUGUGCAAUAAACAAAAACAUCAAAUACCAGACAGAAACGAGUGAAAGGGUUGAUUAAAAUUUUGUAGCCCCUUCACUUAUGUAUUUUUACUCAAAAACUGCCUAAUUCAGAGUUUGUUGGAUUUGGUAAUUCAAUUCAAUAGAGAAAAAUUACUAACAAGCUUCAGAGCAGCAAUGAAGUUGGCUUGUGCCACUAGGCAUAAAGACACUGCGGUAUGAAGAGGCCAGAGAACUUGAAAAGUUCUUCAGCACUCCUCACCAGCAUGUGAUAAGACAAAUGAAGGAGACCACAGUGGAAAAGCAGUGAUUUAUUACCUGAUCUGUGAAGCAAAGCCAUUGCAGCACCACAGAAGGGAUGAGUUGCUUUGUGGUGUGAUUGUCACUGUUUGAGGCCAUCAUGAGCCCAAGGCCAGAACUGAAGGGGAGAGAGAAACCAUCAGGUUUUGAUCAUAGGUCCCCUUCUCUUCUUUUUGUCUUUAUCUUUUACAUCUGAGACCAGGACAUGCCUGGGCACUUUGCCUUGUCAUCAGCAAGGGAGACCUCUGUAAGGAGGGAAUACAAGGUUCUCCUCCACUGGAUAGUUCCACCACCGGCCAAUGCGCCUGUUCCGUUCAAAAGGUUUCCCUUUGUCUAGAAACUCUGGGUUAUUUCAGCCAGAAAUACUGCAGAAAUACCAUUAAAACAAUAACACAAUGGCAUGGUUUUGGUGCAUCGCUCCACCCUCAUGAGUACAAAGAUGGCCACCACUAAAGCAUUGAUUCUUCCCCAAAAUUAGAUUCAGAUUCAGAGUCUGGAUGUACUCGUCUACAGCAGCAUGCUUUGGAAAAGGAGGAUGGCACACUCUGAAAAGACUACAUGCAACAUAAUACAAGGCAGGAUAUAAAAUAUCUUUGCCUGAAAAAAAGGUGAAAUACUUUAUUUUACAUCAUUUCCAAAAAUGGGCUUGAUGGGGCUCAUCAGGAAAGCAGCUCAGUUGUGCUGUUGCCUGAUUUGUGAGAGACACACUGACACAGAGCUCCUUUUUCUGGGGAGUCAAGUGUGAGAAAUGGGUUGCAAUCAACAAGCUAUAGGUGUAUCAAAAUACAUUUGAUUGUGAAGGAGCCACAUCAGCUAAAUUCAUUGAAACACCCAAGAGGUGAGUAGGGCUUAGCAAAACAUUUAAGCAAUUUGGGUUUUUUUAGUGUAAGGAAGCGUGAAAGUAUGAAGAUAUGAAGAAGAUGUGAAGGUGCCCCUGGAAUCCUAUUUUACUGGCUCUCAGCUGCAUCUUUUAAAAAAAAAGUAGACUGCUUGCUACUCUUUUUUCAUUAUUUUAAACAAAUCUAAACAUAGAAUUCAUGCUUACAGGACGUAGAGGUAUUUUGGGAAGAAUGCAGUAUGGGUGGGGCAUUUCACCCUUUGUACUGGGAAGUUAUUAAUGUUUUCGGGUAAACCAUCUAAAUUUAUGGUGCCUGAAGAUAUUUAUAUAUGCUCCCUCAAAGUACAAAUUACAGCAGUCUUGAGCUUUUUUUCCUGAGGUCUUUUUCAUAGCUCUCUAUGCAGAUGAUAUCUAAUAAAUUGAUUUCUAUUUCUCUGUUUCAUUACAGAAUUGCUUAUUGUAAAAAAUACCUCUUGUCUUUGGAACACCUGAUUUUAUAAACAAUGAGUCAGUAAAUGUGAAUACUUAACAAGGCAGACUCUGCACUUCCAAGGAACAGUCAUGAUAAACUCUCUUUUAAAGGCAUCUAGUUAACAAAUUUCUUUAAUAGAAAAAUAUAAUGAGUUCUCUUGCUUGUUAAUAACUAUUUUGCUCUUCCCCUUUUCUUGAUUUGGAAAAGUUUUGAGCUUCCAACAGGAUCUUUAUGUAUCUGCAGUUUCCAGAGAAAAUAAUAUUUUGAAUGACCCAAACAAAACAAACAAAAAUGAAUUUAAAACCCAAACAAAACAAGCAAACAACCAAAACCCCAAUAAAUUUCUGUUUGUGCUUGGGAGUGCAUAUUUUGUCUGAAGGAAAAAAUGGGGUGAAACCUAGUUCUUAUUACAGUCCCCAUAAUUCUUCAUUUUAAAGGUAAAUUUAGAUGCUCUGAGUGGACCCUCAUCUUAAAUCAUGUUCUUCACUGUCAUUUCAAAGUUACCCAUAUACUAUACGAAUUUUUUGCCUAUUUAUUUGCAAAUUAUUUGCAUUAGAGGAAAAAAAAAAAAAAAACAACAAAAGCAAACACACCCCAAGCUGCUUACCCAAAUUUGAAGAAUCUCAUGCUGCAGGGACAGCCAACAACCUUGACACUGUGAACCCCACAUUCAUAUUCCCACAUAAAUAUAUUUUAUUUCUCACAUGGGUGAGAAAUACUUGGAGUGACACAAGCCUGUAAUAUCUGCCUACCUACAAAAGGAAAGUGUAACUGCAGUAUUUGCUAUAGGAAUCAAAGCAGUGAGGCACCCAAACUUUCCCAGGGAAAUCAGCUGACUAUUCAUGAACAUCAGAGCUUCACUGCAUGAAGGUCUAGACUGGCACUGAAAAUUUCCAGCUGCAGGAGGCAGCUGCUUGGAGCUGUCUCUUGGGAGCUGUCUCCUCUGAGUGAUGAUGAGAAUCUGUGCUUCAGCAAUCCAGAUGAAACAGGUUUUUACGGGAUGGGGCCUGGAGAGAAGGAAAAUAAUGCAGUAGCUUGCAAAAACCAACCCAGAGUGUUGUGUUUAGGGAAGGGGCUAAGCGUGCAGAACUGUCCUCCACACAACAGCAAAGGCAUCUUGGCUGCCUUUGAGUUUCCAUUUAUUAAUUUCUGCAGCCAAAGUUGUACAUCCAAAAUACUGAGUGAUGCCUCCCAUCCUCCCUCACGUAAACCUGUGGAGAAAAUCUGUGCCAAGCUUCCAACCAGGUACUCCUGGCUUGCUCUAGCAUUUCCAUGGGUUCUCUCCAAAAUGGUGGAAAGAAAGCUUCAAAGUAUCCCAAAAAUUUUACCAUGGGACUGCCUAGCACUGUCCUCAAUGAGCAAUUAGAGUGGAGCCCACUUGUCUUAUCCCUGAGGCAAAGCCAGGUCUGUGUCCCAGGAAUGUUGUGCCAGGGGAAUGCCUCAACCCUCCUCAAAAGACCUCCUGUGUCCUCAUGGUGCAGAAGUUAGAGGGAUCCAAAGUGAAGUGUUCAUAUUGCUGCUACAUUACAGAGUAGAAAAAAUAAAACAAUACAGC
This is a long non-coding RNA of Passer domesticus (house sparrow), 5107 nucleotides long. RefSeq lists it as uncharacterized. The record is from RefSeq and is a predicted model, not a curated record. Lineage: Eukaryota; Metazoa; Chordata; Aves; Passeriformes; Passeridae. The transcript has 5 exons.